UUGCCCAUAGCUGCAAACAAAUUAUUUGAAGAAUUAGAAUUCAGAUCAGAAUUCAGUGCUCUGUCUAGAGAAAGAGAAAAUGGGGUGACUAAAUGGAAAAAUCAGGGUUUUUCAGGGAGCGUCAUUUGGAGAUUGAGAAGCCACGAGUUGGAGUUGAGCUAGAGGCAGAAGCUGGAAGAGCUAAAAGACAAGCUGCAAGAGCUCUUGGAACCAAGGAGGGAGAGAGGCCUCUAAGAAAGCUAACUGGGCCCAAGGAAAGAGACAAGACUUGGAAGGAGAAAAUAAAUGUUUGGAUUUUAACAGCUGGCUGCAUUUGAAGUGAUUAUUACUCUGAACUGGAAACUAAGGCUGCCUCCAGAAAAACCUCCCCAAGAAAUCUGCUCCCACAGAGAACCAUCAUAUAUUUUAGAAAAGAAGAAGACCACCACAUUUUGGUGCCCAAACAGGAACUGACAGGACCCUGAUCUCAGAUCCUGAUUUCAGUGGAAAAGCCUCUGAUCCUGUUCCACUGGAAAAGUCUUCUCAACCUUCAGAAAUUAGGCGACCUAAAACAUUGUUCUGAGGAAGGAUCCAUAGACUUCCAACUGCCAAACAAGAACUGCCAAAGAGGUCUAUGCUGCAAAAAAGAACCACAACUUUAAAAGAUAUAAUAUCAGUAUCAAAGCUCUGUGAUCCUCCUUCCUCUUCCUCCUUUUCCCCCUCUCCUUCCAAUUUCAAACAAUUUGUUACUAAAUAGUCUAAGGCUAAAUAAACACAGUUAUUGCUUAAGGAAUCUGUUGUUCUGGACUAUGCCACUAGUUCUUUUUCACAGAUUCUUUCAAAUAGAGGCAGACAGAUAGAGAUAAAGACAGACAGGGAUAGUUAGGUAGCAAGAUAGACAGAGACAGACAGACAGACAGAUAGAUAGAUAGAUGACUUGAGGGACUAUAGACAGAUAGAUGGAUAGAUAGACAGAUAUACAGACAAGUGGAUAGAUACUUGGGUGGGUUUUUGAACAGGUAGUUGGAUAAAUAGACAGAUGGAUAGAUAGAUGGAUAAAUAGCCAGGUAGAUUGAUAGAUCGGUGAAUAGAAAGAAAUAAAGAGGUGGAUAGAUAGAUUCAUUGACAGACAGGUGGGUAGAUAGACAGAGAGACAGCUGGAAAUAUAGUUGGGGGAUAGAAAGCUGAAUAAACAGGUGAAUAGACAGAGAGAUAGACAGAGAUAGCUAGAUGGGUAGAUAGAUGGAUGAACUGAAAGACAGGUGGCUAUACAGACAGACACAGAUAGAUAGAUGGUUAUAUAGAUGAAUAAAUGGAUGGAUGGAUGGACAGGUGGAUAGAUAGAUUGAUGGACAGGUGGAUAGACAGAUAGAUGGAUAGACAGAUGCAUAGAUAGAUAGCUAGGUAACUAGGUAGCUAAUGGAUAGAUGAAUAAAUAAACAGGUGAAUAUGUAAACAGAUAGAUAAAUGAAUUGAUAGGUGGCUAGACAGACAGACUCAGGUAGAUGAUUAGGUAGGUGAAUAAGUGUAUAGAUGGAUGGAUAGAAGAACAUGUGGAUAGAUAGAUAAAUAGAUCAAUGGAUUGAUACACUGUUGGAUAGAUAGAUAGACAGACAAACAACUACAUAAAUAGAGACAGGUGGAUAGAUAAGUAGAUGGACAGCUAAGUAGAUAAAUAGAUGGAUAGAUGGAGAAGCAGGUGGAUAGAUAGGUAGAUGUAUAGAAAGAUAGAUAAGACAACAUUUUUAAACACUUGCUUUGUGCCAAGCACUGUGCCAAUCCCUGAGGAAACAACUGCAAAUAAUGAAGCCAGCCUCUGCCCCAAUGAACUUAUAUCCCUAUUAGAAAAGAUCACACGUAAAGCGGGCAAUGAGAAAGGAGAAUCCUGAUUCUAGACCAUGGAGAGGAGUUUGAAAGAAGUUACAGGGUCUGCAAGAUGAGGUGAAAAGUUCAGCCAGCAGAGCUGGCAGAGUCAGGGAAGGAGUCCAAAUUUCAGGGCAAAUCUUUGUCCUGAGGGCCUGCUCUUGGUAAUGUGGAGUAUGUAGGGGCUUUUGAAAAUGUUUCCAAGGAAACCAAUACUUGAAAUAUUCUUUUAUUCAAAUAUAUUAAGUACCCAAUGCUAAUGAUUGCCCAGGGCUCUUAUUUGAAGUCAGGAGCUGUUGGAGGAAAGUAGUUGUCUAAAAUACCCCCUCAAAGCCAGAGAGAUUUUUUCAUGCUUCCCCUUGCUAAGAGCUAGCAGUUCAGGCAGCCAAGAGAACCUGGGGUUGUUUGUUUGUGUGUGUGGGAAGGUGAAGGAUAGAAAGGAAUAACUGUUAUAUAGGAUUUCACUAAUUGCAUUUUCUAUCUGACUUUUGAUGUCUUAUUAAAUAAAUUGCAUCUCCUGUU
Molecule: long non-coding RNA, 2364 nt
Organism: Antechinus flavipes (yellow-footed antechinus)
Lineage: Eukaryota; Metazoa; Chordata; Mammalia; Dasyuromorphia; Dasyuridae
Exons: 3
Source: RefSeq, a predicted model, not a curated record